CUCAAUUCUUGUAGGAAUUUACUCUUAGCAGUUGUAUUGAAAUUAAUCCAGUUAUAAUUUUAGUAAUUUGAAUGGAAUUAUUGUCUGCAAAAAAGGUGAACCUCUACAACUAAGCCCAUCCCCACAGUAGUAAUAGUUUGCGUCAUUGUAUGAUGGGAACUAGUAAUCUAUUUCUGUAAUGUAGGUGUGUCAAUAUAUUUAUUGCCAGGCUAAUUAAAGUGAAGCUUAUCUCUAUGAUUUUAAAUGUGUUGAAUGGACUUUGUCUUUGCAGCACUUCAUUGCACAUGCAGUAU
Pelobates cultripes (western spadefoot toad) is the source of this 293-nucleotide non-coding RNA. The record is from the annotation of a GenBank genome assembly. NCBI's taxonomy places the organism in Eukaryota, Metazoa, Chordata, Amphibia, Anura, Pelobatidae.